RNAcentral lists this non-coding RNA (147 nucleotides) under Nomascus leucogenys (northern white-cheeked gibbon). Lineage: Eukaryota; Metazoa; Chordata; Mammalia; Primates; Hylobatidae. The record is from Rfam by way of RNAcentral.
GCCAGGUGUGGCGAUGUACAUCUGUAGUCCCAGCUACUUAGGAGGCUGAGGCAGGAGGAUUGCUUGAGCCCAGGAUUUGAGGUUACAGUGAGCUAUGACAAUACCACUGCACUCCAGCCUGGGCAACAGAGCGAGACCUUGUCUCAA